RNAcentral lists this long non-coding RNA (835 nucleotides) under Venturia canescens. RNAcentral's name for it is "uncharacterized LOC122406945, transcript variant X1". The record is from RNAcentral. Lineage: Eukaryota; Metazoa; Arthropoda; Insecta; Hymenoptera; Ichneumonidae.
UCUUUCGUCGUCGCUCUAACCGCAUGCACGCUCGCCUACAUUCGCAUUAACGAUAACGGAUUACAAUUUUCCACAAGUUUUCUCAACACAGUCAAUUACUCGUGCGCGAUAACGCUUUAUGCAUGAUAUGCAUUAUUCCCAUAAAUACGUGCGAUGAGCAUUACCAUUGCCGUUUCCAAGUUAUAUUUCAGUCAAUCGAGUCUCUUAUAUUUUUCAUUUGCAACUCUUCCCCUUCAUUCAAUCGAUACAAUUACCCUCUAGAUUGUAUUCUCCAUCGCGCUCUGUUGCCAAUCAUUCCUCCAAGUCUAUAUAACCUCUGGAAAUGUCUUCUGUUCCGUAGAUUAUUCAUGGAGAAUGUGCACCAUGGGGGCUUCAAGUUUUUCGACUAUACAAAUAAAUAUUCGGUGUGUGCCUAUAUAAUCUCACACUCUUCUUCUUGACUCGCGUAUCUUGACGACUCUCUGCAAGAUGCUUCGACGCUAUCCUGACUUUUCUACUUUGUUGGAACAAACGUAUCGACCAGCGUUGCGGUGCAAAUAUUAUGCAUCGUUCCUUUUAAUUAUCCGAGCCCGACAGGCAGCAUGCGCUAUGGCGUUGCAAUUAUUGCAUUGUUGCCUAUUACGAGUAUCCUCCCCACCGGAUUCUUGUCAUCCACCGGAGAAUCUGUCAAAUUGUAAAAGUUUCUUAUCCGACCAAGGAUCACGACGGUAGCCGUUAUCAAACACCGCUGGGGGAAGAAACAACGACGACGCACCACCCACCACCGAUUCGACUUCUUCGCGUCGAUUGCCUCGCACAAGUAUUUCCGUGUUUCCUCAUCACGGAUCAAGGAGUA